AUGGUCCCGUGCUACUGCAAGAACAAGGACAACGAUGUUGGGUCGGCCAUCGAGUACGCCGUCUGCGCCCUCAAGGUCGAGGUCAUCGUGGUGAUCGGCCACAGCCGCUGCAGCGGGAUCAAGGCCCUCCUCAACCUCAAGGAUGGUGCCGACGACACCUUCCACUUCGUCGAGGACUGGGUCAGGAUCGGCUUCCCGGCGAGGAAGAAGGUCAAGGCCAAGUGCUCCCAGAUGCCUUUCGAGGACCAGUGCGGCGUCUUGGAAAAGACUGCUUUGAGUGGCAUUUCCUAUUUGGCGCUUGUGGAGCCCGUUUUAUGGUGCUCCUAA
Molecule: ribosomal RNA, 327 nt
Filed under: Triticum aestivum (bread wheat)
Lineage: Eukaryota; Viridiplantae; Streptophyta; Magnoliopsida; Poales; Poaceae
Description: partial small subunit ribosomal RNA
Source: RNAcentral